GGGUCAGUAGGUUGGUCGUGCCACCGGUACGUACUGGUCUCACUGAUUCCUCCUUCCUGAAGAACCGUAAUGCCAUUAAUUUGGUGUUGCGGGGAAACAGGACUGUUACUUUGAAAAAAUUAGAGUGUUUAAAGCAAGCUAACGCUUGAAUACAUUAGCAAGGAAUAAUGAAAUAGGACGAUCGAUCCUAUUUUGUUGGUUUCUAGGAUUGACGUA
RNAcentral lists this ribosomal RNA (216 nucleotides) under Glomeromycotina sp. RNAcentral describes it as "partial small subunit ribosomal RNA". The stretch from base 40 to 216 matches the Rfam family "Eukaryotic small subunit ribosomal RNA", at positions 686 to 864 of the family's 1831-position model. Lineage: Eukaryota; Fungi; Glomeromycota. The record is from RNAcentral.